Molecule: transfer RNA, 67 nt
Filed under: Mesoplodon ginkgodens (Ginkgo-toothed beaked whale)
Lineage: Eukaryota; Metazoa; Chordata; Mammalia; Artiodactyla; Ziphiidae
Description: tRNA-Val
Source: RNAcentral
CAAGAUGUAGCUUAAACAAAGCAUCUAGUUUACGCCUAGAAGAUUCCAUAAUUCAUGUACAUCUUGA